GAUGCUUAGUACGGCGAGUGAGCGGCAAAAGCUCAAAUUUGAAAUCUGGUACCUUCGGUGCCCGAGUUGUAAUUUGGAGAGGGCAACUUUGGGGCCGUUCCUUGUCUAUGUUCCUUGGAACAGGACGUCAUAGAGGGUGAGAAUCCCGUGUGGCGAGGAGUGCGGUUCUUUGUAAAGUGCCUUCGAAGAGUCGAGUUGUUUGGGAAUGCAGCUCUAAGUGGGUGGUAAAUUCCAUCUAAAGCUAAAUAUUGGCGAGAGACCGAUAGCGAACAAGUACAGUGAUGGAAAGAUGAAAAGAACUUUGAAAAGAGAGUGAAAAAGUACGUGAAAUUGUUGAAAGGGAAGGGCAUUUGAUCAGACAUGGUGUUUUGUGCCCUCUGCUCCUUGUGGGUAGGGGAAUCUCGCAUUUCACUGGGCCAGCAUCAGUUUUGGUGGCAGGAUAAAUCCAUAGGAAUGUAGCUUGCCUCGGUAAGUAUUAUAGCCUGUGGGAAUACUGCCAGCUGGGACUGAGGACUGCGACGUAAGUCAAGGAUGCUGGCAUAAUGGUUAUAUGCCGCCCGUCUUGAGAAAACGGAACAAA
RNAcentral lists this ribosomal RNA (580 nucleotides) under Saccharomyces cerevisiae (brewer's yeast). RNAcentral describes it as "partial large subunit ribosomal RNA". It matches the Rfam family "Eukaryotic large subunit ribosomal RNA", at positions 73 to 670 of the family's 3401-position model. The record is from RNAcentral. Lineage: Eukaryota; Fungi; Ascomycota; Saccharomycetes; Saccharomycetales; Saccharomycetaceae.